GUAAGUGACCCUCCUCUCAGUCCCACGUGUGUACCAGGGGCUUUACAGAAGCGCAGGCUCGCAGCGCGAACGUUCUCCAACCGGAGAGCGUAUCUGGCCCAAGCUUCCCUCCCCUUUCCCGCAGUCGCCUCCUCCUCUUCCUCCUCUCACCGCCUGAGUCUUAACACCAGCGCCAGCCGGGCCCUUGGCCUCGGAGAUCUUGUUGAGUCCCCCUGUGUUCUGGGCGCUGUGCUGGGCCCCCUGGUUCUACAAUCUUAGUUAAUCGUUCAAAGCAUAUAGCAAGAUUGGAGCUGCGGGAGACAGCCUUUCACUUUAAGAGGAGAAGUACCUGUCAAGAAGCUGUACUUGUUCUCCCAUGUAUAUUUUUGGUAAAGCCGAUGGAGAACCAGGAGACUGAAGUGGAGCAGCAUACUCAUUGCUUAUCCUUUUCUUCCCAAAUCUCCCAACCCCCUGAUUAUAUUAUAAC
Molecule: long non-coding RNA, 466 nt
Organism: Bos taurus (domestic cattle)
Lineage: Eukaryota; Metazoa; Chordata; Mammalia; Artiodactyla; Bovidae
Source: Ensembl